AGAGUUUGAUCCUGGCUCAGUAGUGAACGUUGGCGGCGUGGAUUAGGCAUGCAAGUCGAGCGAUCGUAGCAAUACGGGAGUCGGCAAACGGGGUAGGAAUACAUCGGAACGUACCUUUUGGUUGAGAAUAGCGUUGGGAAACUGACGGUAAUACUCAAUAAAGUCGAGAGACCAAAGGUUUACUGCCGGAAGAGCGGCCGAUGCGAUAUUAGGUAGUUGGUGGGGUAAUGGCCUACCAAGCCUGAGAUGUCUAGGGGGUGUGAGAGCAUGGCCCCCACCACUGGGACUGGGAUACUGCCCAGACACCUACGGGUGGCUGCAGUCGAGGAUCUUCGUCAAUGGGCGAAAGCCUGAACGAGCGACGCCGCGUGCGGGAUGAAGGCCCUUGGGUUGUAAACCGCUGUCAGGGGGGAUGAAACCGUAAGGUUGACAGAGCCCCAGAGGAAGCACGGGCUAAGUUCGUG
This 464-nucleotide ribosomal RNA is filed under the name uncultured bacterium. Its description in RNAcentral is "bacterial SSU rRNA". It matches the Rfam family "Bacterial small subunit ribosomal RNA", at positions 8 to 507 of the family's 1533-position model. The record is from RNAcentral.